Molecule: long non-coding RNA, 1087 nt
Filed under: Mytilus galloprovincialis (Mediterranean mussel)
Lineage: Eukaryota; Metazoa; Mollusca; Bivalvia; Mytilida; Mytilidae
Source: RNAcentral
GUUUGGACAAAUAAUGAAGCUUGAUGUCGCCAGACAUGAGUACGUCUGCUAGAAGGACAUACAUUGGAACAUAAGAUAUUUAUACGAUAAACGAAGGAAAGGUUUGUACCAAAUACACCCUUUCUGUACAUCAAAUGAAGGUAUGACUGUCUCAAUUAAAGAAAUUAGCUUUGAGAAUAAACAAGAGUUGAAAGUCGAUAGAAAGAAAGUUCCCUUGUCCUCUUCAUUCGCAUCCUAGCCAUUGAAGAGAAAUGUCGUUUCAGCCUACAUCAAGUACUCCGAAUGUGGAAUGGCUGAGCGUCAAUUUUAUCUUUACACCUGAAUGAUGAAUGUAUGCAAUAUACUACGGUUACGGUUACUCUCUAUUUCAAUUUUACAUCAAGUGAUAUAAUCUCAUAUUCAUUUACACAAUAACUUGUCGUUUAAUAUUUUUUAAUUUAUUUCAGACUAAUACUGAUCUGAGGAGAAGGCUGUGGACGAGAGAAACACCAUCGUACAUAGGGGAGAGUGUAAAUGAUGAAGCAGUGAGUAGCUAUUAUUUUUUUUUAUUUCAUUUUUUUUAAACUCCAAAACAAACAAAAAAAAAACGAACAGAAAAAAAACCUAGAGUUAUUGUUCUACAUGUUAAAUAAGGGUAAUAACAAAAUUACCGAACACCAAUCAAAUCCAUAAUCGAGCAGAAUAAGUCCAAACAAAACUGACAAAAUAGGUAUACAAUCAUUGGUCAUUGAUUUAGAAGAAACUGAAUAUUUUUCAACCAAUGACUGAUAUCUAAAAACGUAAAAGACCCUUUGAGACGUAUUUCCUCAUACCCCUGUUUUAGGAGUCAUAUUUAUAGAUUUUUUUUUUUUUUUGUUUUUUCAGACAAUUCAAUGGAGACAUCCGGAAAUGGAUGAGUUGUGGAGCGCACAUAUUGCGCUCCAGGACAGGGUCAAUUCCCUGAUAAGGGAAUUGAAAAGAGAGACAAGAAAAAACAAAAAAUAGUGUAAGACCUGAGGUGGUAUACCUCAGGCCUAAAAAAAAAAAAAUAUUGUGAAAAUGUGAUGAUUUAAUUCUUUACACUGGAUUUAUUGUCUAUGGAAUAUAC